Trifolium pratense (red clover) is the source of this 348-nucleotide long non-coding RNA. RefSeq lists it as uncharacterized. The transcript has 4 exons. The record is from RefSeq and is a predicted model, not a curated record. Lineage: Eukaryota; Viridiplantae; Streptophyta; Magnoliopsida; Fabales; Fabaceae.
GUUCGUUUCAAUCUAAGCUUCAGAUUCAAACAACUCGUUUGUUCAAAGUAAGCUUCAAAUUCUCCUCAAAUUCUUCAAUUAACCUUCAAAAUCAACUUCAGGUACGAUGCAGCUGUGUUGACAUCUCUGAUGACAGUGUCCUAUCGGUCAAUUCAAUCACAAAUUUCUUACGGUUGUGCAAAUCUGAGUCCCAAGCACUACAAGAUUACUCUGAAGUAGAACAGUAGUAAAGUGAAAGGCUUCUUGUUUAUUCUACAACAUCUAUCUGGCAUGGCUGGUAGUUGCUAGUUCUUUGUAUCAGGUAACCUUUAGCUUUAAGCUUUUUGUUAUUUGAGGUGUAAGGUGAAA